Molecule: ribosomal RNA, 397 nt
Filed under: uncultured bacterium
Lineage: Bacteria
Description: partial 16S ribosomal RNA
Rfam family: Bacterial small subunit ribosomal RNA
Source: RNAcentral
AUACGUAGGUGGCAAGCGUUGUCCGGAUUUAUUGGGCGUAAAGCGAGCGCAGGCGGUUUCUUAAGUCUGAUGUGAAAGCCCCCGGCUCAACCGGGGAGGGUCAUUGGAAACUGGGAGACUUGAGUGCAGAAGAGGAGAGUGGAAUUCCAUGUGUAGCGGUGAAAUGCGUAGAUAUAUGGAGGAACACCAGUGGCGAAGGCGGCUCUCUGGUCUGUAACGGACGCUGGGGCUCGAAAGCGUGGGGAGCAAACAGGAUUAGAUACCCUGGUAGUCCACGCCGUAAACGAUGAGUGCUAAGUGUUGGAGGGUUUCCGCCCUUCAGUGCUGCAGCAAACGCAUUAAGCACUCCGCCUGGGGAGUACGACCGCAAGGUUGAAACUCAAAUGAAUUGACGGGG